RNAcentral lists this ribosomal RNA (253 nucleotides) under uncultured bacterium. Its description in RNAcentral is "partial 16S ribosomal RNA". It matches the Rfam family "Bacterial small subunit ribosomal RNA", at positions 524 to 776 of the family's 1533-position model. The record is from RNAcentral.
UACGAAGGGGGCUAGCGUUGCCCGGAAUUACUGGGCGUAAAGCGCACGUAGGCGGCUUUGUAAGUUAGAGGUGAAAGCCCAGGGCUCAACCCUGGAAUUGCCUUUAAGACUGCAUCGCUUGAACAUCGGAGAGGUAAGUGGAAUUCCGAGUGUAGAGGUGAAAUUCGUAGAUAUUCGGAAGAACACCAGUGGCGAAGGCGACUUACUGGACGAUUGUUGACGCUGAGGUGCGAAAGCGUGGGGAGCAAACAGG